Non-coding RNA from Oryzias latipes (Japanese medaka), 227 nucleotides. The record is from RefSeq and is a predicted model, not a curated record. NCBI's taxonomy places the organism in Eukaryota, Metazoa, Chordata, Actinopteri, Beloniformes, Adrianichthyidae.
AACAGCAUUGGCCGCUCUGCUGUGUGAGGCUAAAGGUUUGAUCUUCUACGACACUAAAGUCACUGUGAUGAACAGAGUAUUGAAUGCUACGGUGCAGCGAACAGCUGACCAUGCAGCUCCAGAAAUUACUCUGGACCCUCUUGAGAUUGUUGGUGGUGAGAUCAGAUCAUCAGAAAACACCUAUUUCUGCCAGGCAGCACGUCAGUUAUCUUGCGUGCCGUCAUCCC